GAGGGGAGAAGCGGAGAGAAAGGUAUGGUGUGAGACUGUGAGGGAGCGGCAAAAGGAGAGAUCGGAUCCGAGAUGAGUAUUCAUAACCCAACUGUAUCGAUCUGUGGGAAUGAAUCUCUAACAAGAUCGGGAUCUCAUGCCUAUUCACGCUGCCGCUUUCAUCAACAUUGUGGGAAGGAAGACAGCAACAUAAUCUAGUGCCCACUUACCUUAUACCCAAUCUCGCCCUUCCCUUGCUUUCAUUGUAGCAGUGCUCCUCGACCUCUUUGAUAGGCCCACUCUGUAUUUCAAGGCCACCUCAUAGCUACCGAGGUGGCUGUUGCUAGCUUUAGCAUUUGUCUUGGCAUUCGGAAUUGAGUUAAUCUUCCAUACUUAUCAUCUCUCCUAUUUGUGCUGCCCUCGUCCCCACUACCAUGGUGUUUUAUGCCUCCGUCUCACGGGGCUUCUAUUCUAACAGGUAGGCGACAAUGGCACAUGAGAAGGCCCCUCUAUUUUUAUCCCCUAACCAUCAUGGCUAUAUUUCACAGUCUGUUUGGACUAUCAUAUGCAAACUGCCGAGUGAAAGCAGAGGUGUAGGUGACAUAUGCAUAGAAGGGGCUGUGGUCAUGUAUCCAGGAACAAUAGUGAUGCCAAGAAAGCCAGUAAGAGGGAGCAGUACGGAGGAGAGCAGCAGAAUAAGAAUGGAAAGUGAACUCAAGUCGAAAUGGCAAGACAAAUAGUAGUAGGGUAGCAGCAGCCACCUUGGUGGUUAUGGGGUGGGCUUGAAAUGCAGAGCUUGGCUUAUUCUGGAACUGUGACUCGAUGAGGUCGAGAAGCAUGGGAAGAAUAAGGGUAAAGAAGGUUGAGAAUGGCACGUAAUGCAGUAGAAGUAUGAUUAUGUUGUUGUAAUGUUGGUGGGGGAAUUAUGUCGCUGUAAUGUUGUUGAAGGUUAACUCCCAGAGUAUUCAGAGUAACAGAGUGAAUAGCCUGGUAGUGUUCUGGAUACUAAUUUGAGUUUAUGACCAAAAUAGUGUUUUUGAAGAAAAA
This is a long non-coding RNA of Vitis riparia (riverbank grape), 1026 nucleotides long. RefSeq lists it as uncharacterized. NCBI's taxonomy places the organism in Eukaryota, Viridiplantae, Streptophyta, Magnoliopsida, Vitales, Vitaceae. The record is from RefSeq and is a predicted model, not a curated record. The transcript is spliced from 3 exons.